GCCUGGCUGGCUCCAUCAGUAGAGCCUGUGACUCUUGAUCUCAAGGUCAUGAGUUCAAAUCUCCUGUUAGGUG
Molecule: transfer RNA, 73 nt
Filed under: Canis lupus familiaris (dog)
Lineage: Eukaryota; Metazoa; Chordata; Mammalia; Carnivora; Canidae
Also listed under: 1 other name
Rfam family: tRNA
About the family: Transfer RNA (tRNA) molecules are approximately 80 nucleotides in length.
Source: Rfam by way of RNAcentral